RNAcentral lists this long non-coding RNA (11863 nucleotides) under Homo sapiens (human). Its description in RNAcentral is "non-protein coding lnc-TF-12:1". Lineage: Eukaryota; Metazoa; Chordata; Mammalia; Primates; Hominidae. The record is from RNAcentral.
CACUGGGUUAGAGGACAUGGGGCAGAAGACCUGAGAAGGAAGAGAGGACAGUUCUGUGCCACACUGGUCAUAUUUAGAAGACAUUUUCAUAUUCCAACCAUUGUUCUGUGUGUGCAUUUUAUUUCUCACGACUGUAUAUGUAGUUAACAAUACUAUUUUUUAGGGAGGUGGGGGGGUCAGCCCCCCGCCUGGCCAGCCGCCCCGUCCGGGAGGGAGGUGGGGGGGUCAGCCCCCCGCCCGGCCAGCCGCCCCGUCUGGGAGGUGAGGGGCGCCUCUGCCCGGCCGCCCCUACUGGGAAGUGAGGAGCCCCUCUGCCAGGCCAGCCGCCCCGUCCGGGAGGGAGGUGGGGGGGUCAGCCCCCCGCCCGGCCAGCCGCCCUGUCCGGGAGGGAGGUGGGGGGGUCAGCCCUCCGCCCGGCCAGCCGCCCCGUCUGGGAGGUGAGGGGCGCCUCUGCCCGGCCGCCCCUACUGGGAAGUGAGGAGCCCCUCUGCCCGGCCAGCCGCCCCGUCCGGGAGGGAGGUGGGGGGGUCGGCCCCCCGCCCGACCAGCCGCCCCAUCCGGGAGGGAGGUGGGGGGGUCAGCCCCCCGCCCGGCCAGCCGCCCUGUCCGGGAGGGAGGUGGGGGUGUCAGCCCCACGCCCGGCCAGCCGCCUCGUCCGGGAGGGAGGUGGGGGGGUCAGCCCCCCGCCCGGCCAGCCGCCCCGUCCGGGAGGGAGGUGGGGGGGGUCAGCCCCCCUGCCCGGCCAGUGGCCCCGUCCGGGAGGUGAGGGGCGCCUCUGCCCGGCUGCCCCUACUGGGAAGUGAGGAGCCCCUCUGCCCGGCCAGCCGCCCGUCCGGGAGGGAGAGUGGGGGGUCAGCCCCCCCCCGCCCGGCCAGCCGCCCUGUCCGGGAGGUGAGGGGCGCCUCUGCCCAGCCACCACCCGGUCUGGGAGGUGUGCCCAACAGCUCAUUGAGAACGGGCCAGGAUGACAAUGGCGGCCUUGUGGAAUAGAAAGGCGGGAAAGGCGGGGAAAAGAUUGAGAAAUCGGAUGGUUGCCGUGUCUGUGUAGAAAGAAGUAGACAUGGGAGACUUUUCAUUUUGUUCUGCACUAAGAAAAAUUCCUCUGUCUUGGGAUCCUGUUGAUCUGUGACCUUACCCCCAACCCUGUGCUCUCUGAAACAUGUGCUGUGUCCACUCAGGGUUAAAUGGAUUAAGGGCGGUGCAAGAUGUGCUUUGUUAAACAGAUGCUUGAAGGCAGCAUGCUCGUUAAGAGUCAUCGCCAAUCCCUAAUCUCAAGUAAUCAGGGACACAAACACUGCGGAAGGCCGCAGGGUCCUCUGCCUAGGAAAACCAGAGACCUUUGUUCACUUGUUUAUCUGCUGACCUUCCCUCCACUAUUGUCCCAUGACCCUGCCAAAUCCCCCUCUGUGAGAAACACCCAAGAAUUAUCAAUAAAAAAAUAAAUUAAAAAAAAAAAAAAAAAACAAUACUAUUUUUUGAACUAUCUACCCUUUCUAGAUGUUCUGAAAUGCCUAUGUUAAAAUUAGAGAUAGUAAAAUAACACAUUUUGUAAAUCUUUUUGUUAAAAUUCAUAUGUAAUGUUGUUUUGGUUGGGGGGGGUGGCCAAACCACCUGUUAAUAAUACACAUUGUGUUUGUGCACUGGUUCAGGGGAGGAGAGAGGAAAGGAAGUGUAAGAGCUCUAUGCCAAUGUGCUUAUAGUGAGGCAAGGUUAACCAUUGUCUCAUGCCUGGGCAUUUUGUUUUACUUAUCUGGGUAUAUUGUGGAUCUAAAGGACAAAUGAGUCCUGACUUUACAUCUAGUCUUUCUAGAUGUUAAAGAGGUUGCUAGUGUAUGACAAAAGUAGUUAGUAAACUAAUAUAUUUUGUACAUUUCGUUUUAAGAUUCCCAGGAAAGACAGUCUUCUGAAAAUUUGAGCAUUAUUGCCCAGUGGGUUGAUGGAGAUGGGAAGGUGUAGGCCAGAAUGUUCAUACUUGGAAGACUCAGUCAUAACUGUUUUUACAUGUGUUCACUUUAUUCAAGACUUCUGUGCAUAUAGUGGACGAAUUAACUUCUUACCUGAAACAUCUUAUCUAUGUAGAUGUUCAGAAUUGCCUGAUGUAUGUUAAGUGUAGAGGUAGUAAAAUAUCACCUUGUAAAUAUCUUUUUGCUAAAAUUCUUGGGAAGUACUGUCUUUUGGAAGUGGAAUUGUGAAGCCACCUCUGUAAGCAGUAUAGUACUGUCUAUACUUGUUCAAUGGUUUAGAAAUGGGAGGGAAGAAAUUGCCAAAGGUAAUAUGCUAGUGUGUUCAUACUUGGACAUUUCACUUGCCAUUUUUCUGUCUGUUUUGUGCAUUUUGUUUUGCUGUGUAUGUAGAGUACAUAAUGGACAAAUGAGUCCUAAUUUUGCAACAUUUGGUCUCUAGAUGUUUAAGAAGUUGCCAGUGUAUGACAAAGUAUCUAGUAAAAUUAGCACAUUUUGCACACUUUGUAUUGAAAUUCAUAGGAAAGCUUGUCUUCUGUAAAUGAUUUUUGGGUAUGAAUUUGUUCAGCCAUCUCUAAGCGUUACACAUGCCUGUACCUGUCCACUGGAUUGAAGACAGAGAGAAGGGAGUGAGGAAGGACUGGUUCAAGGUCAAAAUUGUCAUAUUUAGAAGAUACCUCCGAUUAUAGCCACUGAUACAUGUGCAAUUUUAUUUUACAGUGCUAUGUACACAGUGGAAAGUUAUAUGAAAUAUCUGGUCUCUCUAGAUAGUUAGAAAUGCUUGAUGUAUUUAAAAGUAGAAAUAGUAUAAUAACACUUUUUGUAAAUAGCUUUUAAAAACUGAUGGGAAAUACUGUGUUUGCAAGUGGGAUUGUUAAAUCACCUCUGUGAACAGUGUUACUUGUUCAUUCAGUUGAGGAAGGUGAGAGGGAAGAAAUUACAAAAGAUGUUUUGCUAUUGUGUACUAGAAAAUUUCAGUUUAUCCAUUGCCUUAUAUGUUAAAUGCAUUGCAAGUAACUUUGCUAUACUACAUAUUGUGUUAUAUACUGGAAAAAUGAGUCCUAAUUUUAAAAUAUCCACUCUCUAGAUACUAAAGAGGUUGCCAAUGUAUGACAAAAAUAGUAAAGUAACACAUUUUGUACACUUUGUGUUAACGUUUAUAAAAAGACUAUCUUCUGAAAACGACUUUUGGAAGUGAAAUGAUAACAUCAACCCUAAGUGACACAUGGGCCCAUAUCCACCAGGUUGGUGGUGCAGAGGAGCUGGAAGAAAUGAAGGAUUCUAGAUCAGAAUAUUCCUAUUUAGAAGACAGUUUAAGAUAAACCAUGUGUGUAGUUUAUUCAACCCUACUGAUGCAAGAGAAUAGGGUCUGGAGGCAGGAAACAUAAAGCAGAUUCAUGCAGACUUCCUAGAAAUAAAUGAAAUGGAAACACAUCAGCUAUGACAGGACAUAUACUCUCCAACAGAGUAAAUGACUUUGUAACUUUAUUUCAUCCUCUCCAUUUACAUAGGGCGUACAUCAAGUAAAUGACUAGGGUGUAUACUAAGUAAAUGACUUUGUAACUUUAUUUCAUCCUCUUCAUUUACAUAAGGCAUAUACCAAGUAACCAAUGGAAACCUUGAGAGGGUAUUUAAACCCGAGAAAAUUCUGUAACUGGGCUCUUGAGCCCCUAAGCACAGGCCUUCUCCCACCCUGUGGAGCGUACUUUCAUUUCAUAAAUCUCUGCUUUUGUUGUUUCAUUCUUUCCUUGCUUUGUGUGUUUUGUCCAAUUCUUGGUUCAAUAUGCCCAGAACCUGGACACCCUCCACUGGUAACAUAUUUUGGCAAGGCAGCCAGGAGGUAAGCCCAAAGUUUGGGAUUUUUCAUCUUUUCUUUUCCACUCCAUACAGGGGAAUCUCUCCCUCUGUCUCUUUUUCCUUUCCAACUCGGGACCCUUGGUGGGCAGCGCCUAAACACGGAGGCAACCGCAGGUUUCUGGGUGGGGCCAUCCUGAAGGACUUUUUUCUAUCUUUUCUGGUUGUGGUCCCUGAUUCCUAUGUGUGGCGCAGCUCAGGGCAAACUUGCAGCUCAGGGUGAACUUGCAUGUGUUUCAGGCGACGGAAACCCUACUUGACUGGCUAAGGACAAAAGAAGCCUACUCAGCUUCCAUUUCCUAUCAUUACAGUUCAUGGCUAUCAUGCUAGUGGAACAGGAAGCAUGGGAUAAUGUGGCCUUAUCAAAUUAUAAGGAUGCUAAACGCCAGUGAUUACACCCAGGAACCAAAGGACAGCUCACAAUUGCCUCUGGAGGGAAAAUAUGCAAAGCGGCACUGGUGCCCACGUAAGGUCAGAGAUGCCUGACACUCUUAAGACUGGACCCCAAAGGGGGAUUCCCCAGGGGAUCCUCCAGACUUCAACCUCUCCAAAGGGGAUGCCCUUGGCAGCAGUUCUAAGGACUAGUACUAAGCCCUCCUUAGAAUUUUCUCUUGCAGUUGCAAUACUGUUUGGCCCCAAUAUGGUUUGGAUUCUGGCAUUUGCUGUUGAAUGGGAAAGCGGGAUGCAGUUGCAUGUAUCCAGGCUUUGGUGCUGCUGUUCUAAGCAGGGGCAGGCCUAGUUAUUAUGUGAUGUUCUCCUUUGGUGCUGUUUGACCCCAGUGUUCUUUCGAGUCUGGGGAGGUUUGGCCUUUAAAAAUCAAACUGCCAUGGAAAUUGCUUUACCUGAAAUAAUAGUUCACAGCCUUCAUUGGAUUGCUUAUUGGGUACACAAAGUAAAAUUGGCAAGCUUGUAUUGCUAUCUCAUGGUUAGGGUUCCAAGGUAAAAGCUAUUGAAUCUUCAUUUGUGUGUGUGUAUACACAUGUCUAGAUGUGUUUAUUUGCACAUUUGUUAUAUGUUGUGUUUUGGCAUAUAAGUAAAAGAGCACUCAUAAAUUAAGUAAAUAAGUCGAAGCAAUUUUCAAGUUCACAUGACUUAAGUAUAACUUUCCUAAACAGGCUAGUUUUAAAAUUAUUGGUGAAGUAAAAAUAGAAAUGCCUUCAGAAUUGUCAGCAUAUAUUUUUGUCUGGGUUUUAUAUUUGUCUCUGCUAGAUAUUUUGAGGUGUUAGGGUUUGGCAUAGAAGGUUAUAAAACUAUAAACCCAGCCAAAACAAAACGAUCUCGUUUGCGUUUUUUUUUUUUUUUUUUUUUUUUUUUUUGACAAAUGAGCAUAAUUUAAUGUUAGCUAAAUCUUCUGGGUUACUGGCAAAAAUACGUAUGUAUUAACUUUGAGGCUCUUACUUAGGUUUAAGUGCACACCUGGCUAUUCAAAAUGUGGUUAACAGGGAAAUAACUGACUUUAAAAGAUAGUGUCUAACAUUUCGGUUUACAGAGGUAAUCUAGAUAAACUGUUAAAAGUGAAACAAUUGAGUACAGUGAAUGGGACAAAUGUUUUAGAUAAGCUUUUUGUGUAAAGUCUUAAAAUCAUUUUUGAUGCUCAUUUAAGAUCUGGGCCAUUUCCAAUUAGAAAGGUUGUGAUAUGGGGAAAUAUGUUUCUAAAAUUGUGGAAUUGUUCUUAACUAUAAAUUCCCAUAUCUGAUAGUUCAGGAUUUCUAGCUUUUUAGCGUUUCACUAAAGUUUUAGGUUACUAAGGAUAAGAAUUCUAGUUAACACAUAAUUCUGUAUACAAAACAUGCCAGAAAGUUUGUGUUAUUAGUGAGAAAAAGAAUAAUUUAGAAGUUAUCUAAAAGUUAGUUCAAAUUACAGAUUUGAAAAGGUUACUUAUGAAACAAUGUAGUAAGGAACCAGUAAGUAGAGGAGAACGAUAUGGAAAAAGUUUAGAUAAUAAAAUAUUCUUUAAAACCUGAUAGAGAAUUGGAGAUAUUUGGCUAAUUAACAUUUUCAUAGUGAAAGCUGUUAGUCUUGAUAAAAGUAAAAUAAGCAUUGUAAAGAAAUGCAUCGGCAGUUUGGCAAUUCCUUUUUACUAUAGUUAAGCAUGAAGCCGGAUUUGGUGUGGAGCCAAAUUUCACAUACAUGCUUGCAUUGCUUCACACUGUUUACUGUUUUGUGUGGAUAGUGCUGGCACUGGAGUACUUAUUGGUUAUGUGCCUAUAGUGUAUUUCUUGAUUGCACAGGAUGUAUGGUGAUAUUGGUGAACUUAAGGAUACUGAAUUGUGUAUCAGGAACAAAAUAUUCAUUAUGUGGGUUUUGGGGGGCCCUAGGUAAACACUGUAGCCUCCAGGGUAGAUUGAGAAGGAAAAAUUUAGGGUUGGGUUCCUAUUUGUUUUUGCUUCUAAUUUUCAUUUGUUUGCCAUUUAUUCUCCUCUGGCUUUGCUUGUGUAUGCACAUAUAAAAUCAUAUAUAUUUUUUUUAAAUUUCUAGUGGAAGGCUUUUAUUUGGUUCUGUGAAUAGUUAUUUUGUUCCCUAUGCAUUUCUAGCAAGUCAUCAUUUGUUCCAUUUAUCUGGAAUUCCUAGGCUACCUUUGUCAGGCUGGCAGGAAUUGAUGGAGCACACCAGCUUUUUAACCUUGAACUAACUCAAAUUCUGUUUAUGAUACUUUAAGUGUGUUGAGUAUAUUUUCAUAAACAGAAUUUGAGUCAUAUUUCUCUGUCUGCCCAUUUUCUCCAAAAUUCGUAAACUAUUUGUGAAUAUUCUUAAUUCAUGGCAAUGUGUUUGUUUGCAUAUAGUCAAGCAGGGUUCCUAGGGCUGCUUUGGGAGACAGAACCCAGAAACCUGGCAUACUGGCAAAAGGGUAAGAAUUUCUUACCAGCCAGACUCUGGUCUCUGUCUCUCUGUGCAAACUGCAUAAAUGAAUAGUAAAAGUCACUGUUUAUCUCCUCUGUAAAGUUUUGAUUAAUAUAAAAAAAGAAUUCUGAGGCCGAUCUUAAGCUGUAGUGAAUCUGGUGUGCUUUGUGUCUUUCUGUAUUGUUUUGUCAUAAAGAGGGGUACCUUAGAAUAAAAUGUGUGCUUAGGACCCCAUAGACCUGCUGUUCAAGACACACCAGCAGACUGGUCAGUCAUGUCUUUGGGAGCUUGACCUUGUAACCAUGUGGCCAUGCUUUCUCUUUUCACAGUGGCAGCCUGGGUUUAGGGUUCAAUUCCUGGCUUAGGGAAUGAGUCCUUUAUCUUCUGUCUGUGUAUUUAUAUGUGUUGUGUGUGUACUAUAAAAGAGCAUUAAUUAAUUAGCUUAAUAAUAAUAAGAGCUUAAAUCAAAUAUUUUAUCAGAAAAGUAAAAAAUGUAAUGCCUUCUAUUUACUUCAUGUAACUUAAGUAAUCUUUGGGAAAUAAAGACAGUUUUAAAGAUUAUUGGUAAAAUAAAAAUAUCUUCAAAAUGUAAAUAUUUAGUCUAAAUUAUGCAGGUCAGAUAUUAGAUUUGCAAAAUGCUUUAAGGUCAUAAACCGCUUCUUUGACUUUUAAAAAUUGCUCAAUUUAUUUUGGAGCAUUAGAUUCUAGAUAAGGCCUGGGGACAAAUAGAAUUAGCCAUGUCCCCUAGCUAUGCAAAGAAGGUUAUAAAGAAAGGAGAUUUUAUAUAAGAAAGGAUCUUAUAUCGUAAAUUCGUGUCCUAAAGUAAAAUAAGCGGUUGUUAAAAAAGAGGGAUGUUUAGGACAAGUUAGAAAGUCAAAGCAUGUCGUAGAUGGUCUGUGUAAGUCAUGAAAUAAUUUACAAAAGAGAAUUUAUGCAAGAAAUAUACAAUUUAACGGUGAUUAGACCUCCUAAAUGCUUCAUAAAAUGCCACUAUGACUCUUAACUCUACAACUUGCCUGCUUUACAGCUCGGUAAGGCCUGAGACACGUGGAGUCAGAUGCUGGAGUCAGACCUUAAGUGUACUUCUCUCUGGGUCCUAGACUCCACAACUAAUAUAUAAUUAAAAUCCUUAACUUACCAAAGUUUUCACCAAAAGUAAAACUCGCUAAGAGUUAACAUUGUAACAUGUAAGUGAGACUACUGAAGCAACAGUUUUACAUGCAAGUUACGUAAGAAAAGUGAAUGCAUUUUCAGUGAAAGAUUAUAACAAGGCAUGGGAAUGUAGAUUUUUUUUUCUGUCUAAAGGGUUAAAGGAUUGUUUUAAGUUAGGAUAAAGCUAAAAGUUUGAAUGAGUUGUGGAAGAUUUAUAAAAAUUAAUAUUGUAAAAAAUUAUGUGUGUGAACAUAUUGACUAAAUUUAAAGGGGUAUUUUCUGGUUUUUCCAUAAAUUGAACAUCAAAAUAAAAGCACAAACAGGGUUUUCUUAAAGCACCGAUCUGCUCUUUAACAAACAUUUGUAAAGGAUUAUAAAAGGUUUAUGAGAAUCUCACCUUAUGGUCAAACGGAUUAAGAUUGGAAAGAUAUGUCUACAAGGUUUUCUUAAAAAUUGGGGUUGACAUUAAUAGCACACUAAUGCAAGGGUGAAAUUUGGCUUUCUCUCUUGAACAAGAUUUUCAUGCAGUAUUAAAAGAUAAUGAAAGAUCUUUGUUUGCCUUUUGAAUAAACUACCCCCCCACCAAAAAAAAGGAAGGGAAAGACAAGAGACAGAUUGUUUGUAAAGUAAGUCUUCCAUCUAUCAACAUGGAAAGGUUUUUGCCUUUUAAAACAUUUUUGAGUCAUCAUUUUGCUAAAUGAAUGACUAUGGUAACCUGGAAUUCCAUUUCAUAAUGUCAAGUGUUUUAAAUCUUUAACAUAUUUAAUAGGCUUCCCAAAAUCAAAUUUCAGCUUCAAAAUUGUCUUUUCUAACCUCUAACUUUGAGAUGCUGCAGAGGGCCCCUGAAGCAUCCAAAAGAGAGGUAAACAGAAUUAUUUGACAUGUUUAAUUACAUGGGAAGCAUUGUCAAAAAGAAAAAAAUUUAAUCUUCUUCAGGUUAUAUUUUAGUGAAUAAUAUUAAUAUAUGUUCCAAAAUUGUAUGAGAUUUCUAAAAUUCCAAUAUGUCUGAGUAUAUGCUAUCAAUCAUAAUUAUGAUUAUUAUGUUAUUGUAGACCACAGAAAUAACCAAAUUUCCUUGUCAAUUGUGUUUUUAACUAUAACUAUUUAAAGUCAUUUCCACAGUUAAUUGCUUAAUGCUGAUGCAGUUUCUGAAAACUUCACAAGCAUGCAAAGUCCUAGAAUAUGGUGUCUUUUAGGAGAUUCAUGAAAGAUUGGAAAGGACCCUAAAAAGCACUCUUGAAUACAGGUUUCUAAUAAGUUUAGAAUUAUAUCAUUUGAACUGGGUAAGAAUUCCUGGAACUUUAAUGAAAAGACUGACUGAGUUCUAAAACUGCUAACCCAAGUAGAACAAAAAUUAAUUAAAUACCAAGAAAAUACUUUGCCAGAUUUUCAUGCUAAAUCAGCUGAUACUGAAACUGUUUAGAUAUAAAAUUUGAAUAAACUCCAUCAUUUAAAUCAAAUUACCUAUGAUAACCCAUCAGUUAUCAGUGUUAUGCACCUAAUUUGGGGAAACAACUGGUAUUCAAGAGGAUAUGAGUCUAAUGUUAAUUAAGCAUGAACUCAUGGAGAACCAGGAUGGCCACCUUGUCCUUCCUAAGUCGUUAAAGCUUUUGUUAGUAAAAUUUCUGCAUUACAUGACUCGUCACGGAAAAGAUAAAAUGAUCCAAAUUGAAUAUAUUGAUGUGGUGACUUAUAAAUUGCUAAAAUAGUUUAUAACCAAUGUUUGGUCCCAUAUUCCUGGGAAAACAAUCAAAGCUUCAGGUACAUCCAGUCACCUGAUAGGCCAUUUAAACAUUUUAUAGAGGGAUUUUAUUCAAUUGUUAUUUUCAGUGCAUGUUUUCUGGUUGUAUAAAAGCUUUCCCAUGCAAGAGGGCUGAUGUUAUAACACUAAGUUAUUAUGCCACCAAGUAUUUUCACAAGGUAAAGAAAGCUUUUUAUGGUUCACUGAGGACAAUCAACUCCUUCACAACCUAGAAACUGAAGAUUGUAUCUUCUGAAAACAUUGGAUAAAGACUGUCCUUGCCAUCCACACUACAGCAAAACUUCUGGACUUUGAACUUUGGGUUCAUGAUCUCACAACUGAGAAGAGUCCCUCCACACUCUUGGAACUGUACACCCAUUGGAACCCUUAAGGUAAAGCUAACCAGGGAAGUUUCUCUCCCGAAGAAGAUGGCAUCCUUGAUGUGAACAGCUUUUCCCAAGAUCAUGAAUCAAGACUUCUCUAUUAUCAUGAGACUCUUAUCUUUGAAUAUUUUUUCCUUGCUUUUGCCUCUAUGAAGAAUAGAAGUGGAAAAAGGAUCUGUUGUGUACAAUUAUGGGUUAUACUUUUAUUUGUGAAGAAUUUUGCAGCCAGCUUUAGGUCCUUUUUCCAUGAUUUGGAAUAAAAGAGGCAAAUGUAUCCCUCAUAAUAGGCUCCAUAGCAGUUUACUGUAAAGGCUAUGGUUACAUAAUAGACUAAAUUAUCUUAAGAAAGUUAUGCUAAAUAAUAGAGUUGGCUAAACAGAAGAGUAUCUGUGCAGCUGCUGGCACUCAUGGCCUAUGGAGAAAACAUCAGGUAUUAUAGAGAUUCAGUUGUAGCAAAUUAAUGAAGAGACUGCUUAGUUAAGUGAGUAGACUCUUUAGCUCAUUGUUUAAUCUAUUUGAGUUUAGGAGGUUUGGUUUAUGGUGACCCUGGAUAAGGAGCAUACUUACUCUCAACUCUUGGUAUUAUCCUCCUGAUAGUCAUAAUAAUAGUCUCCCUGGUGUGCUGUAUUCUCUCAACGGUUUUAAAUGUUUGCAUGCUGCCACCUCUAGAAUGUCAAAUGGCCUCUCUUCAACUGGAAUGACAAGAGCUGAAAGAAAUUGCAGCCAUGAGGACACUGUAACCUACGAAUGAUGUGCUGAGUCCAAAAGCCCAAAGUGUUGGUAACUGAGAGUGGUGCUAAGUAAGGCCCUAAGUUUUGGUCACACUCUCACUUAAGUGAGAACCUGACCAAAAAAGUGGAAUUUUUUUUUUUUUUUUUUUUUUUGAGAUGGAGUCUCACUCUGUCACCCGGGCUGGAGUGCAGUGGCACGAUCUCGGCUCACUGCAAGCUCCACUUCCCGGGUUCACGCCAUUUUUCUGUCUCAGCCUCCCGAGUAGCUGGGACUACAGGCACCUGCCACCACGCCCGGCUAAUUUUUUUGUAUUUUUAGUGGAGACGGGGUUUCACCAUGUUAGCCAGGAUGGUCUCGAUCUCCUAACCUCAUGAUCUGCCCACCUCGGCCUCCCAAAGUGCUGGGAUAACAGGCGUGAGCCACUGCACCUGGCCAAAAAGGGGAAUUUUUUUUAAACAAAAUUAUGGGAGGUCAUUUUUUUGUACUGAGCCCAUGCGCCAGGCCCCAACAGACCAAACUAAACCAAAACGGAGUCACGUAUGCCAAGACCUUAAGGAAACACAUAGAUCCUAGAACAGACCACAGGCCAGGUUUUGUUUUUCUCCUACAAAUCUCUAUAACAAACAUUCCUGACAGCAUAGAUAUCCACCCCCUGAGUUCCCAUUAAAUCUUUUAACCAAAUUAAUUUCCUCUCGCCAAAAGACCAUCAAGCUUCAGAUGAUCAUGCAACAAAAGUUUCAUCCAGUUCCACCACCCCUGGCCAUCAAGGAGCUACCCUGCCUUCACUAGAAAGAGCAGAGCAGGACUUCUGUGAUCCUCAAUAGGUAGGGACUAGGCCUCAAGCCAACAUGAAGCAGUUACAAAAGAAAGACCAUCGGCCCCUCCACCUCCCAUAAAGAUUUAUGGGGAUCCCAUCUCUGGAGGGAAAUGAGGCAGAAGAAUAGGGUCUGUAGGCAAGGAAUAUAAGGCAGAUGCAUGCUCACUUCCUAGAACUAAAUCAAAUGGAAACACUUCAGCUAUGAUGGGAAAUGUCUUCUGUAUUUACAUAGGGCAUACACUGAGUAACCAAUGGAAACCUCUAGAGGGUAUUUAAACCCCAGAAAAUUCUGUAACCGGGCUAUUGAGCCCCUAUGCUCAAGCCCUCUGCCACCCUGUGGAGUGUACUUUUGUUUUCAAUAAACCUCUGCUUUUGUUGCUUC